GGUUUGAGAUUUUUUGUGGACCAGAUUAUUUUAACGAAGGUGAAACUUAAAACGGUAAAAAAAUAUUUUUAAAACAGUGUACAAAAAUAGAAUGAAUGUAACAAUAGAUGAUGUAAGUAGAUUCGUAAAUGAAAUAUUUACAAACUAAAGAAGCAAAAAUUAAAGAUAACAAAAUCCAUAGUUGUUACAUGCAAAAGAAAUCUAAAGUCAGAUUACAAAAUCUAUAAGAAAUCAUUGUCGCACAAGUUGUACUCAAAAUGGAGAUAGGAAGAUGGAAAAGAAAGAUAAAGAAAGAAACAAAAAGAAAAAUCUAAAAAUAGACUAGUGUGUUAAGAAAUUGAACGAGGAAUGAGAAGACAAAAGAAAUAUCUAGGUUAUGAGAAAAAGAAAAAAAAAAGUUACAAAUUGAUGGCUAUAUUAUACUUGAAAUAAAACUUUUGAGUUUGAACCAUUGUUGUUAGUUAUACAAAAGUAAUAAAAAUCUAAACUUAUCUCAUUUUCGAUUGGGUUCAGUUUUUAGCGAGUUUAAAAAUUUAAAACCGAACCCGCCCAAUAUAACCUAUAUAAAAUCAAAAUUUUAACCCGAUUUACUCAUAAAACCCGCCCGAACCCACCAAAAAGUAAUAUUUUUAUCAGGUUUUUCAGGUUCGAUUCUGGUCUCGAUUUUAUGCUCCCCCUAAUUAUCCAUUAACAAUUAAGUUUCUUUUGUAAUAUCACAUUUUUUUACAUAUAAAAUCACGUCAUAUAUUUAUUACAUAUCAUUAAAAUAAAGGAAUUAAUAAAUAGAGUGUAACGAACUACUUUGCAGAUCUGUUUCUCGUUUCUCAAUGUCCUUGUUGGAUAACAAAAGAAAAAAAAAUAUAUAAAUGUUCUAGUAGAUUUCAUUUCAUGAGAGAGGGUUAAAGUUAUACAGUAGACAAUAUAAAUCGAGUUUAAUAAACUGAUUUAAGUGUAGUAAUGUUUCGCAUGACAACUAAAUUAGUAUUAUGUUAGUUAGGUAACAAUAAUACAGUUAAUCUAACAUUGAAUCUUAAGCAUAACAGAAAAAGUGAAUGCAGAGGCAUAAAUUGCAGUGCAUGUAGGAUCGAUAAAAUGGGGAUCAGAUUCGUGUUAAUGGUGAACAAGCAAGGUCAGACACGUCUUGCACAGUACUACGAAUACCUAACUCUCGAAGAAAGGCGAGCCCUUGAAGGCGAAAUCGUUCGUAAAUGUCUCGCUCGUAAUGAACACAAGUGUUCAUUUGUUGAGCAUCGCAACUACAAAAUUGUUUAUAGACGCUAUGCCUCUUUGUUUUUCCUUGUUGGAGUUGAUGAUGGCGAGAACGAGCUCGCGAUUUUGGAAUUUAUCCAUCUUUUAGUUGAAACAAUGGAUCGACACUUUGGCAAUGUGUGUGAGCUAGAUAUCAUGUUUCAUUUGGAAAAGGUACAUUUUAUGUUGGAGGAAAUGGUGGUGAAUGGUUGCAUUGUGGAGACAAGCAAAGCAAACAUUCUGACUCCAGUUCAGCUGUUGGAUAAAACUUCUUGAGAGAAAUAAAAGAAGCAUUCCUGAUUCAAGGGAUGAUUACGUAAAAACAAUUAUCUCAAGCAUGUGAACAGGUUCACUCCUAAUGCUUUACAUCAAGUUCCUCUCAAUUACAUUGUUUAUAUGCAUAAGUGUACAAAUCAAAUUAGUAUGAAUAUAUGGUUAGAUUUUUUUUAUCAUGCUGAGAUGAUAGAUAACCCAUUAAUCAUCGGUAUUUUCUUAAUAGAUGAC
Cajanus cajan (pigeon pea) is the source of this 1752-nucleotide RNA transcript. It is a transcript of the gene named AP-4 complex subunit sigma, with no coding region annotated. The record is from RefSeq and is a predicted model, not a curated record. Lineage: Eukaryota; Viridiplantae; Streptophyta; Magnoliopsida; Fabales; Fabaceae.